This 801-nucleotide ribosomal RNA is filed under the name uncultured bacterium. RNAcentral describes it as "bacterial SSU rRNA". It matches the Rfam family "Bacterial small subunit ribosomal RNA", at positions 83 to 869 of the family's 1533-position model. The record is from RNAcentral.
UCCCUGAUGUUAGCGGCGGACGGGUGAGUAACACGUGGGUAACCUGCCUGUAAGACUGGGAUAACUCCGGGAAACCGGGGCUAAUACCGGAUGGUUGUUUGAACCGCAUGGUUCAAACAUAAAAGGUGGCUUCGGCUACCACUUACAGAUGGACCCGCGGCGCAUUAGCUAGUUGGUGAGGUAACGGCUCACCAAGGCGACGAUGCGUAGCCGACCUGAGAGGGUGAUCGGCCACACUGGGACUGAGACACGGCCCAGACUCCUACGGGAGGCAGCAGUAGGGAAUCUUCCGCAAUGGACGAAAGUCUGACGGAGCAACGCCGCGUGAGUGAUGAAGGUUUUCGGAUCGUAAAGCUCUGUUGUUAGGGAAGAACAAGUACCGUUCGAAUAGGGCGGUACCUUGACGGUACCUAACCAGAAAGCCACGGCUAACUACGUGCCAGCAGCCGCGGUAAUACGUAGGUGGCAAGCGUUGUCCGGAAUUAUUGGGCGUAAAGGGCUCGCAGGCGGUUUCUUAAGUCUGAUGUGAAAGCCCCCGGCUCAACCGGGGAGGGUCAUUGGAAACUGGGGAACUUGAGUGCAGAAGAGGAGAGUGGAAUUCCACGUGUAGCGGUGAAAUGCGUAGAGAUGUGGAGGAACACCAGUGGCGAAGGCGACUCUCUGGUCUGUAACUGACGCUGAGGAGCGAAAGCGUGGGGAGCGAACAGGAUUAGAUACCCAGGUAGUCCACGCCGUAAACGAUGUCGACUAGCCGUUGGGAUCCUUGAGAUCUUAGUGGCGCAGCUAACGCAUUAAGUCGAC